RNAcentral lists this ribosomal RNA (377 nucleotides) under uncultured eukaryote. Its description in RNAcentral is "SSU rRNA". It matches the Rfam family "Eukaryotic small subunit ribosomal RNA", at positions 587 to 972 of the family's 1831-position model. The record is from RNAcentral.
AGCUCCAAUAGCGUAUAUUUAAGUUGUUGCAGUUAAAAAGCUCGUAGUUGGAUUUCGGAGUCGGGCGACCGGUCCGCCGUUUCGGUGUGCACUGGUCCGACCCGUCUUUUUCUGUCGGGGACGCGCGCUCCUUCAUUGGGGACGCGGAGUCGGCGCUGUUACUUUGAAAAAAUUAGAGUGUUCAAGGCAGGCUUACGCUCUGAAUACUAUAGCAUGGAAUAACGCGAUAGGACUCCGGGCCUAUUUCGUUGGUCUUCGGGACCGGAGUAAUGAUUAAGAGGGACAGUUGGGGGCAUUUGUAUUCCGGUGUCAGAGGUGAAAUUCUUGGAUUUCCGGAAGACAAACUUCUGCGAAAGCAUUUGCCAAGGAUGUUUUCA